RNAcentral lists this ribosomal RNA (798 nucleotides) under uncultured Glomus. RNAcentral's name for it is "SSU rRNA". It matches the Rfam family "Eukaryotic small subunit ribosomal RNA", at positions 314 to 1114 of the family's 1831-position model. The record is from RNAcentral. Lineage: Eukaryota; Fungi; Glomeromycota; Glomeromycetes; Glomerales; Glomeraceae.
AUCAACUUUCGAUGGUAGGAUAGAGGCCUACCAUGUGGUAACGGGUAACGGGGUGUUAGGGCACGACACCGGAGAGGGAGCCUGAGAAACGGCUACCACAUCCAAGGAUGGCAGCAGGCGCGCAAAUUACCCAAUCCCGACACGGGGAGGUAGUGACAAUAAAUAACAAUACGGGGUCCUUUCGGGUUUCGUAAUUGGAAUGUGUACAAUUUAAAUCUCUUAACGAGGAACAACUGGAGGGCAAGUCUGGUGCCAGCAGCCGCGGUAAUUCCAGCUCCAAUAGCGUAUAUUAAAGUUGUUGCAGUUAAAAAGCUCGUAGUUGAAUUUCGGGAUCAGUACGCCGGUCGUGCUUCGGUAUGCACUGGUGUCACUGGUUCCUCCCUUCUGAAGAACCAUCAUGCCAUUCAGUUGGUGUGGCGGGGAAUCAGGACUGUUACUUUGAAAAAAUUAGAGUGUUUAAAGCAGGCUCGCGCUUGAAUACAUUAGCAUGGAAUAAUGAAAUAGGACGUUUGACCCUAUUUUGUUGGUUUCUAGGAUCGACGUAAUGAUUAAUAGGGAUAGUUGGGGGCAUUAGUAUUCAAUUGUCAGAGGUGAAAUUCUUGGAUUUAUUGAAGACUAACUACUGCGAAAGCAUUUGCCAAGGAUGUUUUCAUUAAUCAAGAACGAAAGUUAGGGGAUCGAAGACGAUCAGAUACCGUCGUAGUCUUAACCAUAAACUAUGCCGACUAGGGAUCGGAUGAUGUUAAUUUUUGAAUGACUCAUUCGGCGCCUUACGGGGAACCAAAGUGUUUGGGGUUC